Molecule: long non-coding RNA, 244 nt
Organism: Pan troglodytes (chimpanzee)
Lineage: Eukaryota; Metazoa; Chordata; Mammalia; Primates; Hominidae
Exons: 2
Source: RefSeq, a predicted model, not a curated record
GAAAAGACAGAGCUGGGCCCUCUCCAGAGGGUCUGAGUUCUACUGUAGACUCCAUCCACUAUUACAUCAAAAACUUUGGGAAACCAGGAAGAAAAAUGGAACUAAAAAGGGAAAACAAUAGCAACAAAGAUCAAAAUAAAUAAGGAAGCAGAGAGAAGAAAGAACAUGGUGAAGAGAGUGAAAAGCGUUGUCAUUUGGGGUGAAUUGCAGAAAGAAAUAAAUUAUUGUUCUUAUAUAUAAGUGA